Molecule: long non-coding RNA, 3765 nt
Organism: Caretta caretta (loggerhead turtle)
Lineage: Eukaryota; Metazoa; Chordata; Testudines; Cheloniidae
Source: RefSeq, a predicted model, not a curated record
ACUGCAUGGGUUUUUAAUGCCUUUUUCCUGACUGCUCACUUUGAGCACACCUAGCAGCUCACCUUUGUGGCAUGCAUCUGACCAUGCCAGCUCCAUGCACUCUCAGACCGAGCUACUGGACACAGGCCUGCCUGGAGCAGGCAAGAUGCCAUGGACCUCCUCACGUGGUGGGGAGGAAAGGCUGUGCAAGCAUAGCUGGAGAAACAAUCAACAUCUAGGUGGAGAUGGCACAGGGGAUGCUGCAAUGGGAACACACGAGAUGGAACAGCAGUGCCACAUAAAAGCAAAGGAACCUCGCCAGACCUACCACAAGGUGAAAAGAAAGGAAUCAGAAAUCAGAUGUUGCCCCUCAGACGGGCAGCUUUUACAAUGAAAUGCAUGCCAUACUUGGCAAUGGACACCCCCCCCCGCCCCCCCAGCACCCUGCAGGCAACUGUAGACGCUUUUUGGAGGAACCCAUUGUAGAGACUCCUGCUGUGGACAGUGAGGAGGAAGACGAUGUGGCCAGGGACUCCAACCAUGCUGCAAGCCAAGAACUAUUGCAACUCUGCCAGAGUCGAGCUAAUCUUGCCAGAUUAGCAGACGUGCCCACUCAUGAAGGGGAAGUGAGCUUGGGUAAGUGUGUAAAUGCAUUAUUCCUUUCAGUGUGUGGGGAUUUUUUGCUUUGUUUUCCUGAAACCUCAUCUUUCUGUCCCUUCCCCACCCCCGAACAACCCUCCUCCUCCCCAUUUAAAAAUUGCACCCAUUCCAUCCGCAAGCUUAGAGGAAAAAGGGUUUUGAGUUUGGUUUGCUGGUAUAAUGUCACAAAAUAAAAGGCUAGGGAAUAAAUUCAGAGAGUAGUAGGAGAGGCCAUUCACAGAUCAGUGGCCUGUACUCAGGUAGAGGUGGAACAGAGGUAGUCAGCAUCUGCUUUUAACUUCUUUUGCUUGUUGCACUAGGUGGUAGGGGCCAUGCAGAGUAGUUUGCCUAUCUGAAUAGGAAUGUUCCCAUUGCCUUGAGAGCUCCAUAGAGAACUCUCAAGAUUUCUAAGACAGCAGUGUGUUUUGUGGUUUGGUUUUUUUUGGCACUGCAAUGGAACACUUGCCCAUGCCACUCUGCAAUGGGUUAAGCUGGCACCAUUGCAGAAAACAGGAUAGUGGCAUGUGGGCCUGGGGGCUACAGGACCCCAGCUAGAGUCUCUGUGCCUUUGCCACCCUCAGGACUGAGGGGCAAAAAUCACCAGUGUCUGUGAAAAUAAUGCCUGUAUUCACUGCACUGUCCCUCUACCCACACCCAGGAAAGGACAUGGAACUGUUAUAGCUUCCAUAUAACAGAACCCCCCUCCCCUCCUCUCUGCUAGGCUGGACUCACCAUGGUUUGAGCUGCAGAGCAGCACUGUAGCAAGAGGUUUCAAACCUAGCGACAAGUAUUAAAAUUAUUUGUGGGAAUAAGGGCAUUUUGAGACUUAUUUUGCUCUGUUCCCUCCUAACAGUCAGUCUAAUAGUGCAUCUGUCUAGUUUAAUCAAUAACUUCUGGCAUGCUGGCCUUGAGCAGUGCUACCUCCAUGCCUGCUGAAUGCCUCGCCCUGACCAGGAGGAGAGAGGCAAGAACUAGGGAGGAUUUGUUCUGUGAGAUCUUCCCAUACUCUGGCCUCAGACCAGGAGCAUGGGGCUGGGAGGCUCUGCAGUGGAGUCUGCAGCUCUGGAGUGACGGCGGGUUCCACUCCUCUCUGUGGCCUCGCUUUGGGGCACGAGGCUGCAUGGUGCACAGGUGCAGACCUGCAGUCACUGCUAAUUCAAAUCUCCAAACAAGAGCGUGCAGGCACAUGCAUGUCCCAUGGUAGAGCGCACACAGGGAUAAAACACCCUGCAGAAGAACUCAAGUCACUGAAAGAUGGCUGCCCUGCUAUCGUGCCACUUGGGCUAUGGAACUUGUGUGCCGGUAGGAGAACCCCCUUCAGGAUCACAGAUCUCCUUUGACCCUAUGCUGCUGUUCUCUGGGCAUCAAUGGAAGGAGAGUUUGAUUGGAGGGUGGAAGUUGAAGGACUGACUCUCUCCCUAAACUGGUGUCUGAUUACAUGAACAAGAAGUUUAACCCACACUUUGCCUUUUGAUAAAAUCAAUGAAGGAUUCAAACUGCUGUGGGCAGGGAAAAGCUGCCAUUCCUGUUCCAGGAACUGCACUGCAAGUACUGGCUCCCUCGCUGAAACCCUGUCCUCCAGCUGUGCAGCGAGCCUCAGCCUUUCCUCCAGCCUCCAGCAUGCCACUGCUCCAGUCUUACAUCCCUCUGUUUCUGGUACUGGACCUGCUUGUCCGCUCUCUCCAGAACUUGGAGCAUAACUUCAUCAUGGUAAUGCUUCCUCUCGGAAAGGUCUGUGAAGGUACAUUGAGCCAGGGCUCAAGUUCUGGAUGUACAGCAGCCAGUGGAGGUGGGACAAGAAAGAGACAGAGUCAGAAACUUACCAAGCUCAGGGGCAACUUCUGUCUCCUCGGGGUUUGCUGCAGGCUUGGCAGCAGGGUGUUCCUCAGGGUCCGUGGGGGGCAUCAAACAGCUCUUCCCAGUACGGACCCAGAAUUUGCCGUUGAUGCUGUUCCACAAGUUGCUCUGGGACCAGUUUCAGAAACAGAGUCACUCAGCGCCUGCUGCUGGUUCCCACCAGUCCCCACGCUGGAUUCAGAUAGAGGACAUAGACCAGGUCAUCGUGCACCACAGUUGGCUCCGUGCCCGGCACCCAGCCAACUCCUCAUAAAACAAGAAUGAGGUUUUUCAGUUACCCAAGGUGCGGUUCUGGUCUCUGGUCUUCUGGUACUCGCUGUUGAGCUGUUUGAUCUGCUCCCCGCACUGCUCCCUGCUCUGGAAGAUUUAUAUGUUUAAAAUAUUCCCAAAAUGCUUUUUUCACUCCAGUUUCACAAGGAGGAAAUAUGACUGUAUGUGAAUAUCUGGAAAAAAAUCUUUUUGAAAAACCAGUUCACCACAGCCAUUCUUAAAAUAUAUGUCACGACUACGUUAUAAUUCCUACUCCACCUGUGAAAAUACCAUUUUUGUUCUACAUUUGUGAUGAUCUUGUGUUGACCCCCCAACUCAAAAUAAAUUAUUGUAAUUAGAACCAAUCACUACAAUAAAAGUGGCAGACUUGUUAAUUAACAGACUGUACAUUUUAAAUUCUGCACAUUGGGCCAAAUCUGGAGGCCAGGUUAUUCAGCCUUGAGGGGCAUAUGUUCAGCAUCAGGCUGUGUAAGUUCUUUGCACUCUGGGUAUGCUGAAUAAAGUCAGUGGAGGGGUAAUACACUCACUCUCUGGGCUGGAAUCUAUCUGCUACAAAGUCUCCAGGAUUUUGUACCCUGGAGACUUAUCCUCCAGGACUCACACUAAGAACAACAGCUUGUCUCACAUAGACCAGUAGCUGUCCAUGUACAUGAUAAGUUGCUCACACCCCCGCUGGGAUAGAUUCAGAUCAGUGGAAAUGAGGUAUUAACUCUCUGAGCCAUCUAGUCCCUUUUGAUAAAGUAGUUUACAAUAAAGCAUUUCAUUAAAGUACUUUUUUCUCUCAGUACCUAUUCCAUUCCAUUUCACCUCCAUAUUCUCUUUUGAAUACAUACAUGCUUUAAUUAUUAAACAUCUCACUCUGGUACUAUCCCACAGGGACAAGAGGCAGCCAUCAGUCGCUAAUGCCAAAAUUUGCCUUUCUUGUGCUAACCUUGCCUCACUCCCAGUGUUGAAGCCUAUUCUGUGCUGUACUGAUCAGGCCAGAAGACAGGAUCUUUAACUUGGAUUGUGGAAUUUACU